Molecule: transfer RNA, 73 nt
Filed under: Paeniglutamicibacter antarcticus
Lineage: Bacteria; Bacillati; Actinomycetota; Actinomycetes; Micrococcales; Micrococcaceae
Also listed under: 1 other name
Description: tRNA-Gly
Rfam family: tRNA
About the family: Transfer RNA (tRNA) molecules are approximately 80 nucleotides in length.
Source: RNAcentral
GCCGUCGAAGCCCCGAAGGUAGGGCGCCUGGCUUCCAACCAGGAGGUUGCGGGUUCGAUCCCCGUCGCCGGCU